Molecule: ribosomal RNA, 462 nt
Filed under: Sepedon praemiosa
Lineage: Eukaryota; Metazoa; Arthropoda; Insecta; Diptera; Sciomyzidae
Description: partial 16S ribosomal RNA
Rfam family: Bacterial large subunit ribosomal RNA
Source: RNAcentral
GUCUUUUUGAGGUAUAUAAAAAGUCUAACUGCCCACUGAAUUAUUAAAUGGCCGCAGUACCCUAACUGUGCAAAGGUAGCAUAAUCAUUAGUCUUUUAAUUGAAGGCUGGUAUGAAUGGUUGGACGAAAUAUUAACUGUUUCAUAAAAAUUAUUAGAGAACUUUAUUUUUUAGUCAAAAAGCUAAAAUAUAAUUAAAAGACGAGAAGACCCUAUAAAGCUUUAUAUAAAUAUAUAAAAUUCAUAAAAAGAUUUAUUGAUGAAUUUUAUAAGUUUAUAUUUUAUUGGGGUGAUAGUAAAAUUUAAAGAACUUUUAUAAAUUAAAUCAUUGAUUUAUGAAUAAUUGAUCCAUCAUUGAUGAUUAGAAAUUUAAGUUACUUUAGGGAUAACAGCGUAAUCUUCUUGGAGAGUUCAUAUCGAUAAGAAGGAUUGCGACCUCGAUGUUGGACUAAGGAAUAUCUUAG